GUGGGGAAUAUUGGACAAUGGGGGGAACCCUGAUCCAGCCAUGCCGCGUGUGUGAAGAAGGCCUUUUGGUUGUAAAGCACUUUAAGCGAGGAGGAGGCUCUCUUGGUUAAUACCUGAGAAGAGUGGACGUUACUCGCAGAAUAAGCACCGGCUAACUCUGUGCCAGCAGCCGCGGUAAUACAGAGGGUGCGAGCGUUAAUCGGAUUUACUGGGCGUAAAGCGCGCGUAGGUGGCUAAUUAAGUCAAAUGUGAAAUCCCCGAGCUUAACUUGGGAAUUGCAUUCGAUACUGGUUGGCUAGAGUAUGGGAGAGGAUGGUAGAAUUCCAGGUGUAGCGGUGAAAUGCGUAGAGAUCUGGAGGAAUACCGAUGGCGAAGGCAGCCAUCUGGCCUAAUACUGACACUGAGGCACGAAAGCGUGUGGAGCAAACAGGAUUAGAUACCCGGGUAGUCC
This 451-nucleotide ribosomal RNA is filed under the name uncultured bacterium. Its description in RNAcentral is "partial 16S ribosomal RNA". It matches the Rfam family "Bacterial small subunit ribosomal RNA", at positions 354 to 796 of the family's 1533-position model. The record is from RNAcentral.